AUUGGGUUCAGUUGCCUCAACACACUUGGGGCCAGUACUCCACCGCCUCGAUCCGGCCUGUACCCGAACUUUCUGAUUUGGCCCCGUGCUUAAACCUCUGUCCAAACAUAGGUUCAGUUGCCUAAAUCCGCUCUGGUACUUGGAACCCACUCCUACGAUUUGGCUUGUAACCCAACUUUUCCCAAUUGGCCCUGCGCUUAAGUCUCCGUCCAGACAUUGGGUUCAGUCACUUUGGUAUGGUCUGGUGCCUGGACUCAGGCUGUAAACAGAUCUUUCCAAUUUGGCACGGGGCUUAAAUUGAUCAGACCUCAGUUCUCCCUUGCUAUCGGCAACGAACCCACCACCUCAGCUCGCCUCGGUUCUUCCACAUCAAAUUGCUUUCAAGUCCAAAGAAGGAAGUUUCAAGUUCCUGGGUGUCAACAUCUCUGAAGAUCUAUCCUGGGCUCAACAUAUUGAUGCAAUUGCAAAGAAGUGAGAAUGGGAAACACAAAACAAGCCAAUCAGCCGGGUGGAAGGAUCUCGCCUAACCAGCAGGAUUUCACAGCAGAACGAAGAGUUACAACAGAAUAAUGAAAAACGACACACAAAGACUGACAAACAACCAAUGUGCAAAAGAAGACAAACAGUGCAAAUGCAAAAAAAACCCCCACAUAAUAACAAACAAACAAGCAAAUAAAUAAAUAAAUAAUA
This is a long non-coding RNA of Hypanus sabinus (Atlantic stingray), 690 nucleotides long. RefSeq lists it as uncharacterized. The record is from RefSeq and is a predicted model, not a curated record. Lineage: Eukaryota; Metazoa; Chordata; Chondrichthyes; Myliobatiformes; Dasyatidae. The transcript is spliced from 4 exons.